This is a long non-coding RNA of Microtus oregoni (creeping vole), 445 nucleotides long. RefSeq lists it as uncharacterized. The record is from RefSeq and is a predicted model, not a curated record. Lineage: Eukaryota; Metazoa; Chordata; Mammalia; Rodentia; Cricetidae. The transcript is spliced from 3 exons.
CUCCCGUAAACAAGACUUGGGAAUGGGCUCUGGCAUGCCGAGGGAUGAAAUGCUGAUGGGUAAGCACACCCAUACAUCACGGCAGCACGCCUCGAAAAAGACCUGGUUUACACAUCCAGUCCCUUCUUCUGUGACUGGGCAGACAACCACGUGAAUCUUUUCAAGAGCUUGGACCUAAGUUUUCCGUGUGGAUUUGUGUCUGGGGGAACUGAAAAAGAUGAAGGAUUUUGCACUGUGAAUGGAAGUCCACCACGCUGGGAUCCCUGCCCACCUCACUUCAUCAUUGCUUGGGAUUCUCAGCUGCACGUCAUCAACCAUCACCACCUUUUGGCCUGCUGCGCUUGCUCCGUCUCACACUUCAUCACUUCUUGCAUUUUUUGUGAGUGCUCAGCUCUGUUACAGACUCUAUCCACACAUGCAUUAUUUCCAAAUUAAAGAGAAAUGA